GACGAACGCUGGCGGCGUGCUUAACACAUGCAAGUCGAACGGAAAGGCCCUGCUUUUGUGGGGUGCUCGAGUGGCGAACGGGUGAGUAACACGUGAGUAACCUGCCCUUGACUUUGGGAUAACUUCAGGAAACUGGGGCUAAUACCGGAUAGGAUCUCCUGCUGCAUGGUGGGGGUUGGAAAGUUUCGGCGGUUGGGGAUGGACUCGCGGCUUAUCAGCUUGUUGGUGGGGUAGUGGCUUACCAAGGCUUUGAAGGGUCGCCGGCCUGAGAGGGUGACCGGCGACAAUGGGACUGAGGUACGGCCCAGACGCCUACGGGAGGCAGCAGUGGGGAAUAUUGCACAAUGGGCGGAAGCCUGAUGCAGAAACGCCGCGUGCGGGAUGACGGCCUUCGGGGUGUAAACCGCUUUCGCCUGUGACGAAGCGUGAGUGACGGUAAUGGAUAAAGAAGCACCGGCUAACUACGUG
This 468-nucleotide ribosomal RNA is filed under the name uncultured bacterium. RNAcentral describes it as "partial 16S ribosomal RNA". It matches the Rfam family "Bacterial small subunit ribosomal RNA", at positions 28 to 507 of the family's 1533-position model. The record is from RNAcentral.